CCUCCAUCUUGGCAGUUCUCUCUUGUUCUGGUAAAACAGAGCCUGGAGAUGGUGUAGUGCUUAUGGAGGGAGAGCAAUCCAGUUGGUCAAGCCUUCGGUGCCUGUUCCAUAAAAUGAGCAGGUCCCAUCCUCUAAUUGACCAGACAAGU
Molecule: small nucleolar RNA, 149 nt
Organism: Ornithodoros turicata
Lineage: Eukaryota; Metazoa; Arthropoda; Arachnida; Ixodida; Argasidae
Product: small nucleolar RNA SNORA57
Exons: 1
Source: RefSeq, a predicted model, not a curated record